UACGUAGGGGGCAAGCGUUGUCCGGAAUUAUUGGGCGUAAAGAGCGUGUAGGCGGCCAGAUAAGUCCGCUGUGAAAUCUCGAGGCUCAACUUCGAGCUGUCGGUGGAAACUAUCUGGCUAGAGUCCGGAAGAGGAGAAUGGAAUUCCCGGUGUAGUGGUGGAAUGCGUAGAUAUCGGGAGGAACACCAGUGGCGAAGGCGGUUGCCUGGGGCUUUGCUGACGCUGAUGCGCGAAAGCCAGGGGAGCAAACGGG
This 253-nucleotide ribosomal RNA is filed under the name uncultured bacterium. Its description in RNAcentral is "partial 16S ribosomal RNA". It matches the Rfam family "Bacterial small subunit ribosomal RNA", at positions 524 to 776 of the family's 1533-position model. The record is from RNAcentral.